This is a long non-coding RNA of Syngnathus typhle (broad-nosed pipefish), 962 nucleotides long. RefSeq lists it as uncharacterized. The record is from RefSeq and is a predicted model, not a curated record. Lineage: Eukaryota; Metazoa; Chordata; Actinopteri; Syngnathiformes; Syngnathidae. The transcript is spliced from 4 exons.
CAAAUCUCUGCAUUAUCCCCUUGCUUGGAAUCUUUCAGUCAAGGGGGGCCUUUAGAAAGAAACGUCUCCUACUAAAAUUGUCAUGAAUUGGGCCUCCUUCGUGGGUGCGUUUCAAAAACAAAAUAUUCGCUCUGAAUCCAGGAUCCUCUUCAUAUUCCAAUGUGGAGCCUCAGUGAACCGACUGCCAUGGCGGCUCCCUCGCCGUAGCCGACCGAGCCUUGCAGAUCGUCCACUGGCAAGCCGUCUACUUUACCCCCAAAACGUCUAAGGCGUUCGCAAGAUGCACCGCCAGACAAAAUCUUCGCAUAAACCGACGUUGAUUCCAGGUCUCGGGCUCGCCGUCUUUGUCACUACGCACGUUAGCUACGCCGUUCGCGUACAAUCGUUGAGAAACGUGCUGAUCUUACGCUCUCAGCGUAAACCUAAAUGGAGAAUACGGGAAGCCGUGAACGCGCAAUGGCGACUCGGGGGAGGGUGGAUUUAACCAAUCAGAAAGGGCUAUUCUUCCAGUAGUAGGCGUCAACUGGCUUCAGAGGCUUCCCUCCAAAGCCGCCACAAAUCUCAACAGAGAGCCUCAACAGUGAUGGAUGACUUUUUGGACCAAUGAAGAUCUGGUAUUUAAGUCGCCAUUGACAGCCGCCAGCUGUCACGGGGCAGCAGUAGAAUUCAGCACUGUUGCUAUGUCAGUUCAAGACUGCUCUUCGGGACAAUGUUGUUCUAUUGUCGUAAAUAUCACAAAAUGCGUGUCGUUAGGACACUCAACUUACUGGCUAUUUAUAAUUUAAUUUUUGUUUUAAACUGUCCUAAAUUAACUGCACAUUCAUAACUGGACACUACAUUAGAUACUUCCAGCAGUUUGCAAAGGCUUAAACUGUAACGCAUUCCAAACAGGGGAUUUCUAGAAUGUUGGGUGCAUUAACGUACCUGUAUGAACAGAACUUUAAAUACAACAAUAAGCAUUA